Long non-coding RNA from Armigeres subalbatus, 1016 nucleotides. RefSeq lists it as uncharacterized. The record is from RefSeq and is a predicted model, not a curated record. The transcript has 3 exons. Lineage: Eukaryota; Metazoa; Arthropoda; Insecta; Diptera; Culicidae.
AGUAAUAGUUCGGAGCAGCAAAUGUUUCUUUCGCUCCUAUGUUAAUACCAGCCGUGAUCAACACACCUUUGGAAAGAAGUGACAAGCAAACAUCCCAGGCUGGCGAAUAGUGUUAAAGUCAACCGAAAUAUGUGUGCGAUAGUGACGUUGAUUGUACCAACUUUAUCAGAAUAAAUUGAUUUCCGAACAGACAGCGAUGUGACAGUUUUGGACUGAAUGACGGAGCAGACGAAAUUCAACCAACAAAGUGUAUUCCGCGGGACCCUACACCAAGGCAGGCGAUACCAGUUCCAUGGGAAGAAUAAUAAAUGAAUGUUGACGGAAGGAUAUCGUCAAACAAUGUGGAUUGCGAUUGCAAAAAGAAACGGGACCACAUGAUGAGAUGGUGGCGAGCCACAGUAAGACUCCGGGAUCUGUGCGACUCUUCUAGUGUUGUGGGGCAACGCUAUUGCGGUCGGUCCGUGUUACAAACAAAAUAAUGAUUCGUCCCUAUCUAGCCGAUAUAUUAAAUGAUUGAAGAAUCGUACCCCAUAGACAACAUAUGAUGGAUUCAAGAUAAGAACAAUUAAAUGUCUGGAUCCACAAUUAUUCAAGAUUAAUCUAACCCAAUGAAGUAAUAAAUUUAAGUUGGAAAUAAAGAAUAAAGAACAUUAUGAAAUUAUAACAAUAAUUAUUUAUUAUAAUUGUAGAAAAUACAUUGGGAUAAAGCAAAGCAAUGCCAAAUUUUUGCCUCUCUGUAUUGAAAACGUGUUUUCGGAUUGUGUGGCAUGAUUUCAAUUUCACAGCUCUACAAUUAAUUUCGGAAGUUCGAACUUUUCAUUUUAGAAGUAGAUAAUGGGUGACUUUUGAAUCGACAGUGAAUUGAUUUUUCUACUCUCUACUAGAUAGUAUCAAUGGAACUUUUUAUUUUGGGAAAAUACUGAGUUACUUGCUCUAGUCUGCCAUCAUAUAUGUAGGUAAAAGCUAAUGACAUGUUUUUAAUAGCAUUACCCAUUGAUUCUUGUUCGGGGGCAAUG